UCCUCUCGUUGGGCCUUCACAUACG
Molecule: small RNA, 25 nt
Filed under: Bombyx mori (domestic silkworm)
Lineage: Eukaryota; Metazoa; Arthropoda; Insecta; Lepidoptera; Bombycidae
Description: ovarian small RNA-27871
Source: RNAcentral